GGCAUGUAUGCUGAGUUGUUCUUUGACUCAUCUAUAAAGUUACAAUGGAAUGACAGAAUUAACAAUGUGCUAAAGACUUUCUAAGAUGUGAGAAAUUACCAGCUUUAAGAGGCAUAAAGGGUAUCUCUGCAGGUAUUUGCAGAUAUUUGCAGCUUUUAGCAAAUUGAGGGAAUUUGAAUUUCUAACAUCAAAAUGCAAUGUACAAAGGAGGAAAAAAUAUGACUCACCCAGCCCCCAAAUUUCAUAUUUAUAUCUCUGAUUGAAUCUGGUUUUAAAGGCGAAAUUUUAAAGGAAUAAAAGGCAAAAAAGAAAAAAAGAAAAUGAAGAAAGAGAAGAAAGGAAGGAAACUUUGCUCUCUUACUGGUAGACAAACUUGCAAGACCAGCACAAAAGAAAAAGAAAAUUUCUUUUUUUUUUUUUCUACUACAUUAACAGGACUCAAAUUCUGGAGGAACAGAAAGCAGACUAUAUGUGCAAUGCUAGUAUCUGUACAUUACAUAGAAAUUGUUCAACUUUUUUUUCUGCCAUUAGUUUUAUCAUCAGUUAAUACAGCAAAUCAUAAAAUAUGCAUUUAGCAUAUAAUUCUAGAAUUCCCCUCCAUUUCAUUAUUAAUUUUGUUGUUUUAUUUUGUUUUCCACAGCUAUUCCAGCUGUGGUGAAUUCAGGUUGUGAGUGACCAAAAACCCUAUGCGAUACAGUUUUGCUUUGCUCUUAUGUUUGUUUGUGCAGCACUCCAAUCUAGAUGCAGCAUUGUUACUAAUUUCAGACAAUUGUUCUGGCCUUUUAAAAAGCAGGUCCUUGUAAUUUUAGUAACACAGCAUCAGAGAUGUUAAAACAUACACAACAUAAUUCAACAAGGCCACAAUGAGUGCCAUUUUCUUCAUAUCUUGUUCAUUAACAUAAUGAAGUCUCCAUCUGAAGGGGAAAGGACAAGAAAGGAUGGGGUACAGGGGAAUUUUAGCAGUUAUCUUUCUCCCCUGGGCUGACCUAAAAAUCCCAUUAAAAAAAAAAAGUCUGAGAGUUUGUGUUUGUCUUUUGAGGACAGCAUAAAGAUUUAGGAGUACACACAUUAUUACCACUGCUUAUAUCAACUCAGAACAGUCAACAAGGUGUUAGCAGUUUUGUUGGUUUCAAUUUCUGUGUCAUCUUCUAUAGACUAGUGACCAAAUGAGCCGGUCCUUUUGAACUUCCCUCGGGAGGGGUCCCAUCUUUGUUUGGAGGAACUAUAAAUCCAUCACUGCUGCCGCGACCUAGCUGGUAGUAAGUAUGCAGCUGAUGGACGUGGUUUCUGGAGCCUAGGUUUGGCAUGCUUUUGUAGUAAACAUCUUCGGCAUCACCACAUUUGGCCGGUGGGGGUUCGGUCUGGGUGCUGGUGGUAACACUCUCUGUGGCGGCCACACCAGCCAGCGUCGGCAUGCUGGUAUAGAGAGAGUCUCUAUGGGGUGACUGGAGAUCUUCUGUGUGCUCGUUGGUUAGCAAAGGGAAAAAGCUCUCACUGUGGUCUUGGGGGAUCCGCCUUCUGGUAUAAUGGUGUGGCUGGUGGUUCUCGGUGGAGUAUACUCUUGGGGGCAGCAAAGGAGCAUCAGAUUCCUCAUGAAUGAGUUCCAGGCCCAAACUCUCCUCGUGGUUAAACGAGGUGGCAUCAUCCAGGACAAUGGCAUCAUCUUCCCUUCCA
RNAcentral lists this long non-coding RNA (1674 nucleotides) under Pan troglodytes (chimpanzee). Its description in RNAcentral is "long non-coding RNA NONPTRT012565". Lineage: Eukaryota; Metazoa; Chordata; Mammalia; Primates; Hominidae. The record is from RNAcentral.